Molecule: long non-coding RNA, 206 nt
Filed under: Homo sapiens (human)
Lineage: Eukaryota; Metazoa; Chordata; Mammalia; Primates; Hominidae
Description: HSALNT0290327
Source: RNAcentral
GAGACAUUCCGGUCGGGAAGGGCAGGAGGUUAGAAGGUGGGUGCCCCGCCAGGGCAGUCCAGGGAGACCCAAGGACAGGAGACGCUGGCUGCACAGCACAGGGGCGCACGAAUAGGACGUUUUGUUUACAGGCUUUUGUUAUUAAGGAAAUUGGUGUCAGUCAAGGUAAUUCUAGCUCAGAUGAGCAAUAAAUAUGCUCCCAGCUA